RNAcentral lists this long non-coding RNA (1239 nucleotides) under Bos indicus x Bos taurus (hybrid cattle). RNAcentral's name for it is "lncRNA (ENSBIXG00005021973.1)". The record is from RNAcentral. Lineage: Eukaryota; Metazoa; Chordata; Mammalia; Artiodactyla; Bovidae.
UUCCUUCUAUUUCUCUCUUAAAACAGAAACAAAAUAAGCAGGACUUGCUUGAACAAUUCCAGAAAGAACCAUGUGAGUGACAAAGUCCGAUUGAAAUAGGCACCUGACGGCCCGGAGAAUCUGCCGGGCAGAUCCAGCUCUGAAGGAGCCUGGAGACGCUCCCGCCCGGCUCCGGCCCGCCCUGCGCCCGGCCCCCGUGGUUCACAGCCGUUCACCCCGGCGCUGCUGCUGGACUUCCUACCGUGCGCGAUGCGCACACACAGCGCCCGCACACUGGGCACAUUUCCCGCGGGAGCCCGACCGGCAGCCACCAGCUGGUGCGUUAAGAGAGGCCUCCCUUCCUGACCAGGCCUGGGACCAGAGCAACGGGCGCAGGAACAACCGCCGCAGGCCGCGUCUCUCGGUGCGCAUCCUGAUCAUCUCACUUCCCUCACCACGUGCCAUGAAGAGCAUUGAAUAUUUUGUUCACCUCAGCUUCCAAAAUGCAGAAAGAAACCAUCUAAGUUAGAAAUGCUUGCUAUGCCUAAGAACUUGAUCGCAUUGCUAACUUGGAGCUGAAAGUAAGUGAUAUUUCAAAAGAUGGUAUCAAUGUUCUUUGCAGAACUGUCUCAGUGACAGGAAACUAACUGGCUUCCUUUAAAACACACACAGACACUUCACACACCCAGACCCUCUUAGUUCAUUCUCCCUUGGUGAUUAUGCCUGUCCUCUCAGCCUGAGUAUCUGAGUUUAACUUUAUGAAGUGAACUGGGUUUACCCAGUGAAAACAGUCAGACGAUCAGGAAAAUCCCCAAGAACAGUGCCUCUCAAGGAACCUGAGUUGGGACAACAAGGUCCAGCGGACGCCGCCCUCAUGGAGACCCUACUUUGUCUUUACUCUUGGAGACCCCACAUUCCUUUGCCACAAACUGCUGUACUUCUUUAGUCUUUCUUCCGUCAUUUCUCCACCACCUUUCAUCUCAAAGCGUAGCUCUUCCUGCUCUAAAAACAGUUCUUAAGAGUACUCCAGUGUUCACAUUACUAACUCUUUCAGCCCCAUUUAAUCUGUUUUCCUCUCCAGUCGAGCACCCCUUCCCUGCUUGCAAAUCAGAUGCAGCUGCCAUUGCUCGACUUCUUUUAUCAGCUUCAUCCUGUAUAUAAAUCUUCCUUUAUUGCUCUUUGAUUUCUGUUAUUCAUGCUCUAAUUUCCUCAUUGUUUUCCUAUACAAAUAAAUUUCUUCUUUGAAACCCUUUAAUCUCA